This 428-nucleotide ribosomal RNA is filed under the name uncultured Peredibacter sp. RNAcentral's name for it is "bacterial SSU rRNA". It matches the Rfam family "Bacterial small subunit ribosomal RNA", at positions 355 to 774 of the family's 1533-position model. Lineage: Bacteria; Pseudomonadati; Bdellovibrionota; Bacteriovoracia; Bacteriovoracales; Bacteriovoracaceae. The record is from RNAcentral.
UAGGGAAUAUUGCGCAAUGGGGGAAACCCUGACGCAGCAACGCCGCGUGAGUGAGGAAGGUCUUCGGAUUGUAAAACUCUUUUAUUAGGGAAAAAUGUCUUAGUGGUUAAUACCCAUUGAGAGUGAUGGUACCUAAGGAAUAAGCACCGGCUAACUUCGUGCCAGCAGCCGCGGUAAUACGAAGGGUGCAAGCGUUGUUCGGAAUCAUUGGGCGUAAAGCGCGCGCAGGCGGAUCAGCAAGUCAGAUGUGAAAUCUCGAAGCUCAACUUCGAAACUGCGUCUGAAACUGCUAGUCUAGAAUGUCGGAGGGGGCAGGGGAAUUUCACGUGUAGGGGUAAAAUCCGUAGAGAUGUGAAGGAACACCGGAGGCGAAGGCGCCUGCCUGGACGACUAUUGACGCUGAGGCGCGAAAGCGUGGGGAGCAAACA